RNAcentral lists this long non-coding RNA (273 nucleotides) under Parus major (Great Tit). Its description in RNAcentral is "lncRNA (ENSPMJG00000001273.1)". The record is from RNAcentral. Lineage: Eukaryota; Metazoa; Chordata; Aves; Passeriformes; Paridae.
AUGAGAAGACAUCAGCAAGUGGAGAGAAAUGUACAGGCAAUCAAAAGAGAGUAUAGAAGAAUUUUGUUGGAAACUGAUGGUAGAGCAGAUAUGGAACAGGAUCACCAGGAGGGGAUGAUCCUUCAGUCACUAACUGUGAAUAAGACAGACCCAAAAAGCUGCAAGAGCAAUAAACACUGUAAUGAUGGUAAUACUAAACACAGCAGUUCCUGCAAAAUGCAGUUAAUCCUCGUCCAAUCUGUGCCAUUCACCCUGAAAUUAAUUCAGGCCUGA